AUGAGUUUGUGCUUGCACUAGUUAAAAUUCUCAUCAAUAAUGCAAGUCUAGGUACAAUCACAGCUCAUUUCCAUAUAAGAAGCUGAAAAUACGAUUUGUCAAUGUAGAUUCACAGAAACGUUGAAGAAUGCACAUAUUUGCUAACUGUGAUGCAUAAAAUGCAAAUGAAUAAUUCAGCUCUGAAACAUAUUUUAGUUUUAAUAUUGUUAGCAGUUGAACAUCUAAGCUUCUGACCUAAUCAACCAUAAAUCUACAAGAUUGAAGCCACAACUCAAAAAUCCAAUCUACUUGUUCCAAUGCUUGAUUGUGAAUGUAGAUCAACCGUCCAUCUUCAGCCAUCCAAUACCAUCAAGAAAGAACAAACAUUGCUUUAUCUACGGUUCUUGGAAAACCAAAGGAAGCAAUCACUAUGCGCGUCAAGUUACCUUUAAGUCCAAACCAUGGUCAAUGAUCUUGAGCUAUCAAAUAUCUAUCAAGAGUCUUCCAAGAAAAUCCUUGUUGAAAUUUACUUAAACAAGACAUACAUUUGGAUCUUCUUCAUCAGAGUCAAACUCAACAUUUUCAUCCUUGAACCAUUUUCCAUGACAAUCUCGCUUCCAACCUGCUUCUAUAAACUUGAGUUCUCGCUCUCUAUGCUUUCGGAAAUCCAAUUGAUGCUGUAUCAAUAACCCACUAGAUCCUUCAACUAAAGGACAUGAGAGAGUUUUCACAUCAGGAACCUGUCCCUUGCUCAAUUUCACAUCACAACUUUGGUUUCCAGAAUUUUGCCGGGGAGGUUUAUUGCAUAGUACCUCAGAAGCAGCCUUCCUUGUCUGUUCAAUUAAUGGUUUACUACUACAUGCUAACCUAACUUUUUCGUUUAAGCUAGUGUAGUCAGCAAAGCCAACAGAAGAGUCUGAUAAUGCCAAUCUCUUAUUUAUCUCGUCUUUUCUCAUAGAUUCUCUUUCCUUCAGCCUGGACUCUGCAGCAAGAUGGCGUGAUCCCUUGCAGUGCAUCUGCAAAAACAGCUCUUUUUACAAUCUGAAAACUAAUUUUACACGAAGAAACCUUCCAUCCAAAUAGAAAAGCCUAAUUGGCUCAGCCAGAAGAACCACAGGAAAUUGGACAGAAACAGACAACUGAAGAUUAAAACACUAUCAAUUAACCCCUUUUUAAAUUGCAUACGAAAUUUUAAGAUAAUGAUCCAACUGCUGAAGAUUUUCAAGCAUUGAGUAUAAUUAUGAUAAUGGAGUGCAUUGAGCGGGUCAUCACAAAAGAAAAUUCCAUAUCACACAAAAGGGUUCGGUAUUCAGCAAGUUCUAUCUAUAUCCCAUUUGGGUUUUCAGCAAGUUCUAUCUAUAUCCCAUUUGGGUUUUCAAAGAACGAAUCAAAUAACAGGAAAAGAAAAUAGAUUGAAAUUAAAGCUUAAAAGGGAAGAAGAGGAUUGAGAAGAGUAAGAAUCUAGUAUGCUUACAGAGAGCAUGAGAGGGGAAUCAAGAACGGGAUUGUGAGGACAGACAAGACAUGCGUAUUUGCCGCUGGAAAGCUUCUUGUAAGAAGAGCCGUCGAGGCCUUGUAUUGCAAGAUCAUCCACCCUUCGCUUCCUGUAUUGUGCUUCUCUUGCCCAACUGUCUCCCCCAAACACACUCAUUUCUUUCUUUGCCUUUUCUGGGAUUUUCGAUUUCGUUACUGGCGACGUUAAUUUUUCUGUUGUUGGAGAAAUAGAACUAUGCUCGAGGAUUGGCCCACUGGGCCGGCACAUAAAUUUAUUACUAACCCUAUCACAAAAAUAU
Molecule: unclassified non-coding RNA, 1772 nt
Filed under: Hevea brasiliensis (rubber tree)
Lineage: Eukaryota; Viridiplantae; Streptophyta; Magnoliopsida; Malpighiales; Euphorbiaceae
Source: RNAcentral